Molecule: RNA transcript, 2001 nt
Organism: Oryza sativa Japonica Group (Japanese rice)
Lineage: Eukaryota; Viridiplantae; Streptophyta; Magnoliopsida; Poales; Poaceae
Gene name: FBD-associated F-box protein At1g61320-like
Source: RefSeq, a predicted model, not a curated record
CAGGUUUUCGUUUCCUAAUUUUCUGCCGUAUUUUUGGCCGUCACCUCUGCGGAUUCCACUCCCCUCCCCUCCUCUCCUCGCGCAGCCGCGCCACGCCGCGCCUUGCCGCUGACACCGGAGCAAGAUCGAGAGAGAGCGCGGCGUAUCGGGGUGAUCUGGUCUCCCCGCGCGCGCGCGCCGCCCUGCUGGUUUCGGAAUCGAAGAGGAGCAGAGAGGGCGGCGGGGAAGAAGAGGGGAGGUGAAGCGGCGGCGGCGGCUCAUGUCGAUGCAGCAGGAGCAGACGCGGCCACGUCGGCUGGUCCAAUCCUGUAAUGAGUCGGUUGCUUCACUGGCUAAACGAAAUGGCUCACCCUGUCAACAAGGCGAUGAUUACCAAGGUGUCAAAACAAUGAGAAAUCCAUGGGCCUUCCUUCCUGAGGACAUCUGGUAUCAUAUACACUCCUUAUUGCCACUACAAGAUGCUGCACGUACCGCAUGCGUGUCUCAGAUAUUUCUACGUUCUUGGAGAUGCCGUCCCAAUCUCAUCUUCAGUGCGAAAACAUUGGGAUUGAAUGACAAUUGGUUGGAAAGGAAUAAAGUAAUAGGAGAACUCAAUGGAAAAGUUGACCACAUUAUGAAAACCACUCCGGUGUUGGCUUGAAGACUUUUGGGCUUAGAUCCUAUAAUUUGGUCGACGCCUGUUAUCUUGAUUGUUGGCUCCAGAUAGCUGUUACACCGGCAAUUGAAGAACUCAUCCUUUUGCUGUUUCCAGAGGACAAGGCAAACUACUACGACUUCCCAUUCUCACUUUUAUUCAAUAGAGGUGGAAGCUCGAUUAAGCAUCUUUAUCUCAGCUAUUGUGUCUUCCGUCCUACUGGUGGACUUAAUUGCUUGCGAAGUCUGUUUCUGUAUGAGGUGCGCAUUACUGGGCACGAAUUAGGGUGCCUUUUUUCCAAUUCCUUUGUGUUAGAGCAGUUGGAACUCACAGAUUGCAAAGAGCUUAGUUACCUCAAGAUACCUUGCCUGCUUCAACGGCUCAGCAAGCUGGCAAUGUAUGGAUGGGAAGCAUCACAAGUGAUGGAAAUUAAAGCUCCAAAUCUUUUAAACUUCCAUUAUGAGGGUAAUCUAGCACGACUAUCAGAUGGAGGUCUACCGUAUGUGAAGAACCUAACCAUAGCUUCCAUUCGUUGGCAUAAUGCUAUUUAUUAUGCCUGUGCAAAUCUUCCAUCCAUUGUGCCCACUAUUGAAACUCUCACUGUAUUUUCAGUUAGCGAGAUUAUCAAUACGCCGAUCGCACCUUUAAGAUUUCUCCACCUCAAGCACCUUACUGUUUUUCUUCACACAGUCCCUAGGGUCGUUUCCCCAACAUAUGAUUAUCUUUCUUUAGCUUAUUUUCUUGAUGCAUCUCCUGCCUUGGAGACUUUCACUUUGAAGGUAUCACAGACUCGCAUGGAGCAUGACGUGAUUUCUGAAGAUUCAUCACAUCUAAGGCAGAUGCCAGGACACCAUCAUGACACCAUCAAGAAUGUGAAGAUCAUGGUCGAGCUAACUUGUCAUAUUCUUGAGAAUGCAACAUCACUUGAAGGUCUUACACUAGACACAAUAUUUGAUGGAAAUAAUAAUCCUGCAGAUAGGCUAUCUGUUCACGAAGUUGGUCGUUGUGGCCGCAUACAUAGCCCUAUGGUCAUGGAAGCCAAAAACGCGCUCUUGGCUAUCGAGAGAUACAUCGUCGGGAAAGUCCCCUCUACAGUGAAGCUGGAUGUUCUAAAACCCUGCAGCUGGUGCCAUACAAAUUCAAGUGUUGAGUGAUACGGAUUGUCCAAUAUUUAAUCGUGAGCUGUUGCUUAGGUGUGGCUUUUUCUUGAGCUACUGAAUCUACCCGUUGUUUUGAGUUUUGUAUUAUUUUUCAUGGGUAUUGUGCUUUGUUUCUUAAGUUGUCACAAGUGUCAUUGUUCUGUGAUUGUCAUUACAUGGGCUGGUUCAAUUAUACUAUUAUCAAAACCAUUCUUUCAUUUGUCCAGA